AUACUCACUUCGGCAGCACAUAGACUAAAAUUGGAACGAUACAGAGAUUAGCAUGGCCCCUGCGCAAGAAUGAUAUGCAAAUUCGUGAAGCGGUCCAUAUUUUA
Echinops telfairi (small Madagascar hedgehog) is the source of this 104-nucleotide small nuclear RNA. NCBI's taxonomy places the organism in Eukaryota, Metazoa, Chordata, Mammalia, Afrosoricida, Tenrecidae. The record is from RefSeq and is a predicted model, not a curated record.